UCAGUCGACUCCUACGGGGAGGCAGCAGUGGGGGAAUAUUGCACAAUGGGCGCAAGCCUGAUGCAGCCAUGCCGCGUGUAUGAAGAAGGCCUUCGGGUUGUAAAGUACUUUCAGCAGUGAGGAAGGUAUCGUAGUUAAUAGCUGCGGUAUUUGACGUUAGCUGCAGAAGAAGCACCGGCUAACUCCGUGCCAGCAGCCGCGGUAAUACGGAGGGUGCGAGCGUUAAUCGGAAUUACUGGGCGUAAAGCGCAUGCAGGUGGUUUGUUAAGUCAGAUGUGAAAGCCCGGGGCGUCAACCUCGGAAUUGCAUUUGAAACUGGCAGACUAGAGUACUGUAGAGGGGGGUAGGAAUUUCAGGUGUAGCGGUGAAAUGCGUAGAGAUCUGAAGGAAUACCGGUGGCGAAGGCGGCCCCCUGGACAGAUACUGACACUCAGAUGCGAAAGCGUGGGGAGCAAACAGGAUUAGAUACCCUGGUAG
Molecule: ribosomal RNA, 477 nt
Filed under: uncultured bacterium
Lineage: Bacteria
Description: bacterial SSU rRNA
Rfam family: Bacterial small subunit ribosomal RNA
Source: RNAcentral